This 422-nucleotide ribosomal RNA is filed under the name uncultured bacterium. Its description in RNAcentral is "bacterial SSU rRNA". It matches the Rfam family "Bacterial small subunit ribosomal RNA", at positions 355 to 774 of the family's 1533-position model. The record is from RNAcentral.
UGAGGAAUAUUGGGCAAUGCCCGAAAGGGUGACCCAGCAACGCCGCGUGGAGGAUGAAGGUCGUAAGAUUGCAAACUCCUGUUAGAGGGGAAGAAUAACUAAGUUUGGAGCUUAGUAUGACUGUACCCUCAGAGAAAGCCCCGGCUAACUACGUGCCAGCAGCCGCGGUAAUACGUAGGGGGCAAGCGUUGUCCGGAUUUACUGGGUGUAAAGGGCGCGCAGGCGGAAUGGAAAGUCAGUGGUGAAAUCCUACAGCUUAACUGUAGAACUGCCUUUGAUACUUUCAUUCUUGAGUUCGGGAGAGAGAGACGGAAUUCCAGGUGUAGUGGUGAAAUACGUAGAUAUCUGGAAGAACACCAGUUGCGAAGGCGGUCUCUUGGUCCGAUACUGACGCUGAGGCGCGAAAGCGUGGGGAGCAAACA